RNAcentral lists this transfer RNA (73 nucleotides) under Ovis aries (sheep). It matches the Rfam family "tRNA". Rfam says of the family: Transfer RNA (tRNA) molecules are approximately 80 nucleotides in length. Their secondary structure includes four short double-helical elements and three loops (D, anti-codon, and T loops). Lineage: Eukaryota; Metazoa; Chordata; Mammalia; Artiodactyla; Bovidae. The record is from Rfam by way of RNAcentral.
UCCCUGGUAGUCCAGUGGCUAAGACUCUGCACUGCCAACACAGGGGGCCUGGGUUCGAUCCCAAGUCAGGGAA